GACGAACGCUGGCGGCGUGCUUAACACAUGCAAGUCGAACGGAAAGGCCCUGCUUUUGUGGGGUGCUCGUGUGGCGAACGGGUGAGUAACACGUGAGUAACCUGCCCUUGACUUUGGGAUAACUUCAGGAAACUGGGGCUAAUACCGGAUAGGAGCUCCUGCUGCAUGGUGGGGGUUGGAAAGUUUCGGCGGUUGGGGAUGGACUCGCGGCUUAUCAGCUUGUUGGUGGGGUAGUGGCUUACCAAGGCUUUGACGGGUAGCCGGCCUGAGAGGGUGACCGGCCACAUUGGGACUGAGAUACGGCCCAGACUCCUACGGGAGGCAGCAGUGGGGAAUAUUGCACAAUGGGCGGAAGCCUGAUGCAGCAACGCCGCGUGCGGGAUGACGGCCUUCGGGUUGUAAACCGCUUUCGCCUGUGACGAAGCGUGAGUGACGGUAAUGGGGAAAGAAGCACCGGCGAACUACGU
This 467-nucleotide ribosomal RNA is filed under the name uncultured bacterium. Its description in RNAcentral is "partial 16S ribosomal RNA". It matches the Rfam family "Bacterial small subunit ribosomal RNA", at positions 28 to 506 of the family's 1533-position model. The record is from RNAcentral.